AGAGAGGGGGUGGGGGGGAUUGGAUACGCUGAAAUCCAAGCCAGCAAUCUGAGGAUAUCAAUAGCUGUGUUGAUGACCACCUUUGACACACCCCUUGGUAAAGCAUAAGCAGUGAGAUGUUGUCAUCACAUCCAUGAUCGCUGGUAAACGACGGCCACAGUAUCGCACUCCCUGGUGCAUUUGGACGGCACGCAGGUAGCUUCAAUAGUGCCUCAUUUUGGAUCCGACCCCAGAUCCAGCUCCUCUUCCUGAUGCUGUCCAACCUCCAGCCUGCAAGUGGAGCAGGCCUAACGAAUCCAUCAACGAUAGAUGGCUCUGACAUCAAUUUUUAAUGGCGCAAGAGCAGCUGCAGCGAGGGAAGAAAGCGAGGAGAGUCAAACAUUUGGCCGCGACAUUAAAGCCACUGACAGACGGAAGACCUCUAACACCAGGACUCCCCCCAGGAGCAGCAUGAGGAACACGACCAAGAGCCAGAGGUGUAGAUCCAGCCUCCAAACCACACAGAUCCAAAUCUGAUCGAGUAGGAAAGGAUUCCAGUGCCAGACACCACCUCUGGAGACCCUGUACCCAUGCAUUAAUAGGUCUAGAAACACCAGAGGGACCUACACAACAUCAGGCCGGUGGUUUGAAUGUUUCUGAUUGUAUAGAGAACUCCUGACUCUAUUCAAAUGAUUCUUUUUAUUACCCACUUGCAGUUCUUUUCUCAGAUUUAUCUUGUAAUAUUGCAGAACAUUUUAACUAUUCCCCUCUGAUGGUUACAUGUAACAUUUCUGCUACAAAGAAUCAGAAUGGUAAAAGCCUGUUUCUUGCAGUCACUUGUUUUUACAGAAUGACAAUGGU
This is a long non-coding RNA of Acanthochromis polyacanthus (spiny chromis), 840 nucleotides long. RefSeq lists it as uncharacterized. The record is from RefSeq and is a predicted model, not a curated record. Lineage: Eukaryota; Metazoa; Chordata; Actinopteri; Pomacentridae. The transcript is spliced from 3 exons.